UUUAUGGAGAGUUUGAUCCUGGCUCAGGAUGAACGCUGGCGGCGUGCCUAAUACAUGCAAGUCGAGCGAACAGAUAAGGAGCUUGCUCCUUUGACGUUAGCGGCGGACGGGUGAGUAACACGUGGGUAACCUACCUAUAAGACUGGAAUAACUCCGGGAAACCGGGGCUAAUGCCGGAUAACAUGUUGAACCGCAUGGUUCUACAGUGAAAGACGGUCUUGCUGUCACUUAUAGAUGGACCCGCGCCGUAUUAGCUAGUUGGUGGGGUAACGGCCUACCAAGGCGACGAUACGUAGCCGACCUGAGAGGGUGAUCGGCCACACUGGAACUGAGACACGGUCCAGACUCCUACGGGAGGCAGCAGUAGGGAAUCUUCCGCAAUGGGCGAAAGCCUGACGGAGCAACGCCGCGUGAGUGAUGAAGGUCUUCGGAUCGUAAAGCUCUGUUGUUAGGGAAGAACAAAUGUGUAAGUAACUGUGCACAUCUUGACGGUACCUAACCAGAAAGCCACGGCUAACUACGUGCCAGCAGCCGCGGUAAUACGUAGGUGGCAAGCGUUAUCCGGAAUUAUUGGGCGUAAAGCGCGCGUAGGCGGUUUUUUAAGUCUGAUGUGAAAGCCCACGGCUCAACCGUGGAGGGUCAUUGGAAACUGGAAAACUUGAGUGCAGAAGAGGAAAGUGGAAUUCCAUGUGUAGCGGUGAAAUGCGCAGAGAUAUGGAGGAACACCAGUGGCGAAGGCGGCUUUCUGGUCUGCAACUGACGCUGAUGUGCGAAAGCGUGGGGAUCAAACAGGAUUAGAUACCCUGGUAGUCCACGCCGUAAACGAUGAGUGCUAAGUGUUAGGGGGUUUCCGCCCCUUAGUGCUGCAGCUAACGCAUUAAGCACUCCGCCUGGGGAGUACGGUCGCAAGACUGAAACUCAAAGGAAUUGACGGGGACCCGCACAAGCGGUGGAGCAUGUGGUUUAAUUCGAAGCAACGCGAAGAACCUUACCAAAUCUUGACAUCCUUUGACCGCUCUAGAGAUAGAGUUUUCCUCUUCGGAGGACAAAGUGACAGGUGGUGCAUGGUUGUCGUCAGCUCGUGUCGUGAGAUGUUGGGUUAAGUCCCGCAACGAGCGCAACCCUUGAACUUAGUUGCCAUCAUUCAGUUGGGCACUCUAAGUUGACUGCCGGUGACAAACCGGAGGAAGGUGGGGAUGACGUCAAAUCAUCAUGCCCCUUAUGAUUUGGGCUACACACGUGCUACAAUGGA
Molecule: ribosomal RNA, 1252 nt
Filed under: Staphylococcus pseudintermedius
Lineage: Bacteria; Bacillati; Bacillota; Bacilli; Caryophanales; Staphylococcaceae
Description: bacterial SSU rRNA
Rfam family: Bacterial small subunit ribosomal RNA
Source: RNAcentral